This 2849-nucleotide unclassified non-coding RNA is filed under the name Octopus sinensis (East Asian common octopus). Its description in RNAcentral is "s1 RNA-binding domain-containing protein 1-like, transcript variant X2". Lineage: Eukaryota; Metazoa; Mollusca; Cephalopoda; Octopoda; Octopodidae. The record is from RNAcentral.
CGGACACUUUCUCUUUCAGAAAAGUCAUUUGUAAUGGUUAUAUAAUUCAAAUAGGCAUAUAUAUGUAUAUGUCCUAUGUUCGGGGAUUAUUUUCCCAUUUUGUGAUUAGGGUGACAGUUAGAAAUUUCAGUAUGAAUGUUACAUGGGAUGUAGUUGAGGUUAUUGCUGAACAACAUCAGGUGCCUUUGAAUAUUUCCAGAAAUGUUGUCAGACUGUUGGAUGAUGAAAAUACCAUUCCAUUCAUUGCAAGAUAUCGCAAAGAACAAACUAAUGCAAUGGAACCUGACAAACUCCGCUCUAUACUAGAGACCCUUACAGAAAUGAGAUCUGUUGAGAAGAAAAUACAAUCUGUUCACAACUCGAUUGAUAAACUUGGUAAAAUGUCAAAGUUUCUAGAGAAAUCCUUGCUAUCUGCGAAAACAAUGCAUGAAGUUGAAAUCUUGUAUGCUCCUUUUAAACCUGGAAGCCAGAGAAGUUUGGCUGAACAAGCACGGGAAGCUGGGCUUGAAAUUACUGCUGAAAAUAUUCUCUAUAAUGGCUGGAGGGUGAACUUUGCAACACUUAUACAACCACCGCCUUCAAAGUAUUCCUCCAUAGAAGAAGUGAAGACUGGUGUAAAGUACAUAAUUGCUGACAUUAUUGCCAAAAAUACAGAAGCAAGAGAAACUAUCAAUAAACUAUUCCUGUCCCAUUAUGUGGUUUUAGAGUCAAAGAAGAAGAAAACUGUUGAGAAAAAGACAAAAGCUGGUGAUAAAAAGGCAAAAACUAAACCUGGAAAGAAACAUGUGGAGGAACACAAGUUUUCCAACUAUUUUGAUUUCAAAUGUGGGAUUAAAUCUAUCAAACCUCACCAGGUUCUUGCAAUCAACCGGGGUGAAGAAAAUAACAUAUUGUCAGUGAAAAUUGUCAUUCCUGACAGUAUAAAAUAUGAAUAUCUGAAUUUUUGCCGCAGAACCUGGAUUCGACCUGCAACACCACCAGAAAACAAAAAUAUUCUGGAAGACUGUUUCCAGGAUGCCUUUAAACGACUUGUAUCCCCUCAGAUGUGUCGUUUUACUAGAUCCGAGCUGACGAAAACAGCAGAGAAGGCCUCUAUUGAAGUGUUCUGUAGUAAUCUAAAGAGUCGUUUGCUAAUGGCACCACUGAGAGGGAGAAUUGUACUGGCAAUAGACCCUGGCUUUCUGCAUGGCUGUAAGGUCGCUGUUAUAUCAGAAACAGGUCAGGUAUUGUAUACAGACACUCUAUACCUUCACAGCCAUAAAAACAAUGUGGUCAAAGAAAGCGAAAAAUUAGUUGACAUCAUCAGCACUAACAGGUGUGAGGUAAUUGCCAUUGGCAAUGGUACUGCAUGUCGGGAGACAGAAUCAGUAUUAUCCAAAUGCAUCAGCCAAAAAUUAUUCGGAUCACAGAAGAUUCAAUAUUGUAUUGUUGAUGAAAGUGGUGCUUCAAUUUAUAGUAUAUCUACUGUAGCUCAGAAGGAGCUUCCUGAUAUGGACCAGAACAUUCGUGGGGCUGUCUCUAUAGCUCGCCGUCUUCAGGAUCCUAUUGCAGAACUAGUCAAGAUUGAACCUAAACAUAUAGGAGUUGGAAUGUAUCAGCAUGAUGUUGCGGACAACAAGUUGAAAGAUGCUUUAGAUGGUAUUGUACAGGAGUGUGUCAGUUUUGUUGGAGUUGACUUGAAUACAGCUAGUGAACAUCUAUUAAGGAAGGUGUCAGGUUUGAGCUCAUCACAGGCUAAACAUAUCAUUGAAUGGCGAGAAAAACAAGGAAACUUUUGUAACCGUGAGCAGUUAAGACUGGUGAAGGGCAUCGGGGAGAAAACAUACAAUCAGUGUGCAGGAUUUAUCCGAAUUAACCCUACUGGAAAUAAAUUAAAUUUGAGUGAAGAAGUGUGUGAAAUAGAAGCAGGACCUUCAAAAGGGAAAAAACGAAAACUGAAAACAGAGUCAAAGCAAAGUUCCAAGAAAGUCAAGCUGGAAGUGAAAGAUGGACCAAAUCCACUGGAUCGCACCUGGAUCCAUCCAGAGUCUUAUGGUAUUGCUUGCAAGUUCAUAAAUCAGGUUGGUGCUUCAAUGGACCAAAUUGGUUUCCCACCAUUUAUUGACAAAGUAAAGCAGCUUGUGAAUUCCACAAGUGUUGAGAAACUUGCUAAGCAAUAUGAGAUUGGCGAACCAACCAUGUCAUUGAUCGUCACAGGGCUUACACAAGCAAUCAACUAUGACAUCAGAGAAGAGUCUGAGAAGCCAUUGUUUCGUACCAGUGUGAUGGGCUGGAGUGACUUGAAAGUGGGAGAACAGCUGAGUGGUCGUGUCAGCAACGUCACCCAUUUCGGUGCAUUUGUUGAUAUUGGCGUGGGCACUAAUGGUCUGCUGCACGUGAGUGAAAUCAAUAAAAGCCUACUGCGUGCAAAGAAUCGCACAAACUUAGCCAUCGGAGAUAAGAUCGAAGUGAAAGUCGUAAACUUUGAUGUUACCAAAAAACGGAUCGGUUUGUCGUUGGUCAGUUUCCUUUAAGAACAACAGUUGGGUAGACCUUAAGUUUUUAACAUUAACACUUUAAGCAUUCAGAUUAUUCUGUCAAAUAUAAGGUUCAUUCAUACACAUUGUUUUGAGCUAAUCAUGCUUUAUUUCAUAACUUCAAGAUUUUGACGAUGUGAGAAUUAUUUUUUCAGAAUGAGAUUUUAGAGUAGGUGUGAGAGGCUGAAUCUGGUUAGUUUGAACAUAGAACAGGUAGGAUAUGGGAGCAAUAUAAAUACUAAAGUGUUAAAUUUAGUCACAGAGAUAUUUUACAUCUCUGGGCCAUUUGCAUGAUCAAGAAAUUAAAAUUAUUUUGAUAAUAAAUUUGUUUCU